Molecule: ribosomal RNA, 234 nt
Filed under: Vibrio cholerae
Lineage: Bacteria; Pseudomonadati; Pseudomonadota; Gammaproteobacteria; Vibrionales; Vibrionaceae
Also listed under: 1 other name
Description: partial 16S ribosomal RNA
Rfam family: Bacterial small subunit ribosomal RNA
Source: RNAcentral
UUAAUUGAAGAGUUUGAUCAUGGCUCAGAUUGAACGCUGGCGGCAGGCCUAACACAUGCAAGUCGAGCGGCAGCACAGAGGAACUUGUUCCUUGGGUGGCGAGCGGCGGACGGGUGAGUAAUGCCUGGGAAAUUGCCCGGUAGAGGGGGGAUAACCAUUGGAAACGAUGGCUAAUACCGCAUAACCUCGCAAGAGCAAAGCAGGGGACCUUCGGGCCUUGCGCUACCGGAUAUG